This 301-nucleotide ribosomal RNA is filed under the name uncultured bacterium. RNAcentral describes it as "partial 16S ribosomal RNA". It matches the Rfam family "Bacterial small subunit ribosomal RNA", at positions 509 to 807 of the family's 1533-position model. The record is from RNAcentral.
CAGUAGCCACGGUAAUACAAAGGGGGCUAGCGUUGUUCGGAAUUACUGGGCGUAAAGCGCACGUAGGCGGAUUUUUAAGUCAGGGGUGAAAUCCCGAGGCUCAACCUCGGAACUGCCUUUGAUACUGGAGAUCUUGAGUUCGGAAGAGGUUGGUGGAACAGCUAGUGUAGAGGUGAAAUUCGUAGAUAUUCGGAAGAACACCAGUGGCGAAGGCGGCUUACUGGCUCAUACUGGACGCUGAGGUGCGAAAGCGUGGGGAGCAAACAGGAUUAGAUACCCGCGUAGUCCCUGUCUCUUAUAC